Cinara cedri is the source of this 2870-nucleotide non-coding RNA. Lineage: Eukaryota; Metazoa; Arthropoda; Insecta; Hemiptera; Aphididae. The record is from the annotation of a GenBank genome assembly.
UGACUUUAUAGUUGAUAAUUUUUUAAUAUUAUUAUUAUAUAAUCAGGGAUGGGCAAGAAACUUGUAAAAGAGUAUCUAGAUACAAGUUACUUUAAUAAUAGAAAAGCUGUCCAACGACAAUAAGGACGGGUGCAGCCACCAUUGUAGGUGAGAAGUUGGGAAGGUAGGAUACAGAAGAAAAUUUAAUGUAUAUCUGUAAGCAACAAUAAACCAUUUCUAAUAAAAAUAACAAUUCUGAUCGAGUUCAGUUGAGAGUGAUGCUUUGUCAACAAUAUAAAUAAAUGUAUAUCAUAUUAUGGUAAAAUUAAUGAAUAGGCAUUAUUUAUUUAGCUUUAAAUUAUUAAAUUAUUAUUAGCUGCAAGCUAGGCUAAAAUAACAAAAUUGGCCUAAACAUAUCAUCACAAAUCUGGUCUACUGUACAAUAAUUAUUAUUCUCUGAUCAACUAAAUGCAAUUUAACAAUGUUCAUGGGGGGUGGGGUGUACAUUUGUCAAUAUUUUAAUUUGUUCUUUAUAUCCAUACUAACAACUGUAAAAUAAGAUAACUGAGUAUUUUUAGUUCAUCUUUAUAUAAGUCCAUAAGUAAUUAAUUUAAUUAUAUAAUGUACAACAUAUAAUAAAUAUUAUAAUAACUAGUUAGCCCUGCAAAUUUAAUUAUGCUACGGGAUAUUAAGUGUAAUCAUAUAUUAUCAAUGUUUUACUUCUUUAAUUAUAGCUGUUUUAAAUGCCCCAUAAUUAAAAUAAUUAUCACUAGGGACCAAAUUUAUAUACACUUGAAAUCCAUAAAAAAGCGCUUAAAUUGUAAAAAAAGCAAAAGUGGUAAAGGGAUUUUGAAGUCAUCGUUCAAAGAGUUCUAACCCUAUUAAAUACAAUUUUCUAACAUUCACAAAUAUAGAUUAUCAAAUCGAAAACUAGUAUUCAGUUUACUGACAUACACUUAGAAAACUCGCUGAGGAUUAAAGCAUCUCAGGACCAACCAAAUAUAGAAAAAUUAGUGAAAAACAACAAUGUCAUCACAAUAAAUAUAAAAUAAAUAAUUUGUAUUUCAAAAUUUAAAUAUGUUUUAACUAUAAUAAUAGCUUGUAAUUUAAAAUAAAUCAAAAAGUUACAAUAAUAAAACUGGAUUUUUGUAUAAAAUAUACAUGUUUACUAUAAACGGCAACGCAAGAUUUGUAGAAAAUAAUAUGCGGCCGGCUGCAUGAAAGUAUUGAGGUCAUCUAGCCUAAAUGGUCUAUAUAAAUAUAUAUAAAUAAUUAAUUUCUAUUUGACUGUAUAACAGAGUAAUCAUCAACAUUAUUCUAUUUCAUCGCUUUUAUUUCUCAUGUUUUUAUAAUUAACAUUAUAACAUUACAAAUACAUUUUAUUAUAUUAAAAAAAUUAGGAUUUUUCAUGCCAUACUAUGAAAUGUACCAAGUAUUUCGCCAUCUUAUAUUUUUCAUUUGGAGUUGGUCAAGGACUCAGGCGGCGGUCUAGACAUUUUGUUUUGUAGAACAAUAAAUCGGUGUCUCGAUCUAUGGAAUAAGGAUCUCCUUUUCAUAUGUUAAUGUACCAUUUCAAAAAAGGUAGGUACAUAACCUAAAUACAAUAAUUAAUUAGGUUGAAGUUUGGCUCUUUGGGUAGAAAAACAAAUUUCAACAUUUCGAAAAAUGUCAAAUACAUAUAUUUUCAAUGAUUUAGUACCAUUUGACUAUUGACCUAUGUAACGUUUCAGAUGAAGAAUUACUAUGUUAUUCAGCUCGCACAUGGACAUUAUUGCUUUACAAAGCAAAAUGUCUAGACCGCCGCCCGAGUCCUUAACCAACUCCAAAUGAAAAAUAUAAGAUGGCGAAAUACCUGGUUCACUACAUAGGAUGGCAUGAAAAAUGGGAUCAAUGGGUGACUGAUGACUGAUUAAUAAAAAUAACCGAUAUUAAUUUAAAAUAUAAGGAACAACUAAGAAUCCAAGCAGAGAUGUAGUAUAUUUGUACAAAUUACAUUAGCAUACUAUAUUGAUUAAAAUAUUAUUUUUGUUUAUUUUAUGUUCAGUUUUGAAUCGCAAAACCCGCACUAGACUAACAAAAGAUGAAAAAAAAACAACGCGAAGUAACUAAGAAGGAAACAAAACCCAAAGCUACUCAACUAAUAUCUUAGGUUAGGUUUAAUAUUCAAGUAAUCAAUGCCAAUUUUUUUAAUAUAAUAAAAUGUAUUUGUAAUGUUAUAAUGUUAAUUAUAAAAACAUGAGAAAUAAAAGUGAUAAAAUAUAAUAAUGGUGACGAUUACUCUGUUAGACAUUCAAAUAGAAAUUAAUUAUAUAUAUAUAUAUAUAUAUAUAUAUAUUUAUAUAGACCAUUAAAGCAAGAUGACUUCAAUCCUUUCAUGCAGCGAGCCACAUAUUAUUUUCUACAAAUCUUGCGGGGCCGUUCAUAAUAAACAUGUAUAUUUUAUACAAAAAUCUAGUUUUUUUUUUUUUUGGUUUAAUAAAUUUGUUGAGAAAACUCCGGAAAAAAUCAAAACAUACCUUCUCACACCGAUUUCCUUAAAAAUCGCUUUUAUUUCUCAUGUUUUUAUAAUUAACAUUAUAACAUUACAAAUACAUUUUAUUAUAUUAAAAAAUUGGCAUUGAUUACUUGAAUAUUAAACCUAAACUAAGAUAUUAGUUGAGUAGCUUUACGUUUUGUUAUCUUCUUAGUUUCUUCGCGUUGUUUAUUUUCUUCUUUUGACAGUCUUGUGCGAGUUUUGCGAUUCAAAACUGAACAUAAAAUAAACAAUAAUAAUAUUUUAAUCAAUAUAGUAUGCCAAUGUAAUUUGUACAAAUAUACUAAAUCUCUGCUUGUAUUCGUAAUUGUUCCUUAUGUUUUAAAUUAAUUUCUGUUAUUUUUAUUAAUCAGUCAUC